Molecule: transfer RNA, 86 nt
Filed under: Acholeplasma sp.
Lineage: Bacteria; Bacillati; Mycoplasmatota; Mollicutes; Acholeplasmatales; Acholeplasmataceae
Description: tRNA-Leu
Rfam family: tRNA
About the family: Transfer RNA (tRNA) molecules are approximately 80 nucleotides in length.
Source: RNAcentral
GCAGACGUGGUGGAAUGGUAGACACGCUACUUUGAGGGGGUAGUGGGCAUAAGCCCGUGUGAGUUCAAGUCUCAUCGUCUGUACCA